GACUCUGGUGGCCUAAUGGUUAGAGCGUCCGUCUCGGAUAUGAGAGGUGCUGGGUUCAAAGCCCGGCCGAGUCA
This is a non-coding RNA of Potamilus streckersoni, 74 nucleotides long. The record is from the annotation of a GenBank genome assembly. NCBI's taxonomy places the organism in Eukaryota, Metazoa, Mollusca, Bivalvia, Unionida, Unionidae.